This 466-nucleotide ribosomal RNA is filed under the name uncultured bacterium. RNAcentral describes it as "partial 16S ribosomal RNA". It matches the Rfam family "Bacterial small subunit ribosomal RNA", at positions 28 to 507 of the family's 1533-position model. The record is from RNAcentral.
GAUGAACGCUGGCGGCGUGCUUAACACAUGCAAGUCGAACGAUGAAGCCCAGCUUGCCGGGUGGUUUAGUGGCGAACGGGUGAGUAACACGGGAGUAACCUGCCCUUAACUCUGGGAUAAGCCUGGGAAACUGGGUCUAAUACCGGAUAGGAGCGUCCACCGCAUGGUGGGUGUUGGAAAGAUUUAUCGGUUUUGGAUGGACUCGCGGCCUAUCAGCUUUUUGGUGAGGUAAUGGCUCACGAAGGCGACGACGGGUAGCCGGCCUGAGAGGGUGACCGGCCACACUGGGACUGAGACACGGCCCAGACUCCUACGGGAGGCAGCAGUGGGGAAUAUUGCACAAUGGGCGCAAGCCUGAUGCAGCGACGCCGCGUGAGGGAUGACGGCCUUCGGGUUGUAAACCUCUUUCAGUAGGGAAGUAGCGAAAGUGACGGUACCUGCAGAAGAAGCACCGGCUAACUACGUG